This 491-nucleotide ribosomal RNA is filed under the name uncultured bacterium. RNAcentral describes it as "partial 16S ribosomal RNA". It matches the Rfam family "Bacterial small subunit ribosomal RNA", at positions 29 to 507 of the family's 1533-position model. The record is from RNAcentral.
AGUGAACACUGGCGGUAGGCCUAACACAUGCAAGUCGAACGGCAGCACAGUAAGAGCUUGCUCUUACGGGUGGCGAGUGGCGGACGGGUGAGGAAUACAUCGGAAUCUACUUUUUCGUGGGGGAUAACGUAGGGAAACUUACGCUAAUACCGCAUACGACCUACGGGUGAAAGCAGGGGAUCUUCGGACCUUGCGCGAUUGAAUGAGCCGAUGUCGGAUUAGCUAGUUGGCGGGGUAAAGGCCCACCAAGGCGACGAUCCGUAGCUGGUCUGAGAGGAUGAUCAGCACACUGGAACUGAGACACGGUCCAGACUCCUACGGGAGGCAGCAGUGGGGAAUAUUGGACAAUGGGCGCAAGCCUGAUCUAGCCAUACCGCGUGGGUGAAGAAGGCCUUCGGGUUGUAAAGCCCUUUUGUUGGGAAAGAAAAGCAGCAGGUUAAUACCCCGCUGUUCUGACGGUACCCAAAGAAUAAGCACCGGCUAACUUCGUG